Long non-coding RNA from Hirundo rustica (Barn swallow), 811 nucleotides. RefSeq lists it as uncharacterized. NCBI's taxonomy places the organism in Eukaryota, Metazoa, Chordata, Aves, Passeriformes, Hirundinidae. The transcript is spliced from 5 exons. The record is from RefSeq and is a predicted model, not a curated record.
AAGAGGUGAAGAAGGGUAGACCAAACAGGGACUGGCCAAAUGGGAGAGAGAAUUGCUUCUGGGAGGGGUCUGCUGUGAGGUCAGUCUGAAUCUACAGUGGAGGCCUACAGUAGGAGCCGGCUGUAGACAGAGUCAAUGGUUUUCCUCAAGAGGAGGCACAAGAAGAGCUCCAGCAGUGGGACACGAGGGAAAUAUAUAAGAGGUCAUGCCAGAGAUAUCUUCACGACUGAAAGAGUUUGAGCCUGAGCUUAUUUGCUGUUAUGAACUUCAACAGCAGAAGAGGGAAGACAAGCGUAAGAAAAAUCCCUGAUAACUGAAAUAGUCCUCUCAGUAACUCUAAUAACCUGUGGCCAAUUUUUUUGAAGUGUAGACAACUUCAGCUAAUGAAAAUACUGACAAAACAGGUUUGCUGCACAAUGCAGUCGGAAGAUCAUAUUUGACUCCAGGUAAUGAAGAUAAAUACAUGCACCUAAGGAUUGGCUGACAUUUACAUUGUGUCUUGUGUUUAUAAAACCAGAGUGACCCCAAUGAUUAUUUGGUUCAUAUCUAGGUCUGAGGGUAUUAGAACUGGUCUCUCAUAUUUUUAGUUGAUUUCUUGAUGACAACACAUAUCUGACUUGGGUUUAUAAAAACUUUAAAAAUCCCUGCACUUUCUAUGUAUUUCUCUAAAAUUACAGAGGAACUUGGAAAAGGUAAAUUAUCUUUUAAUAAAAAGGAGGCUCAUAUUAGCCCUUCUGUUUUUUUCACAAAGCACAAGGAAAGAUAGUAUUCAACACUAAUAUUUUCCCUCCAAAUCUAUCAAAUACACAGG